AGAGAGGUGUCCGAGUGGUCGAAGGAGCACGAUUGGAAAUCGUGUAGGCUCAAAAGGUCUCGAGGGUUCGAAUCCCUUCCUCUCUG
Molecule: transfer RNA, 86 nt
Filed under: Paenibacillus sp. FSL H8-0548
Lineage: Bacteria; Bacillati; Bacillota; Bacilli; Caryophanales; Paenibacillaceae
Also listed under: 1 other name
Rfam family: tRNA
About the family: Transfer RNA (tRNA) molecules are approximately 80 nucleotides in length.
Source: Rfam by way of RNAcentral